This is a long non-coding RNA of Ostrea edulis (European flat oyster), 3035 nucleotides long. RefSeq lists it as uncharacterized. The record is from RefSeq and is a predicted model, not a curated record. NCBI's taxonomy places the organism in Eukaryota, Metazoa, Mollusca, Bivalvia, Ostreida, Ostreidae. The transcript has 3 exons.
AUAUAUCCCUGCAAGUACCCCAACGUGCAAGUUGGAAUUCCCCUCGCGCUGAAGCGUGGAGUGUAAUUAGGUAUAUAAACAGGCAAUAUCCACGCGGGGACAUAAAGGCUACAACACAGGCGGUUGGCAGGUCAAUGGAAAUUUACCCACGGCAGGCGAGCGGUAUGUAAAUGCAGCGAUAGGUGAAAUGACACUUGAAUUCAACUACCAUUGGCAUCAGCUGAUUUAAUUUGACCACCACAGCAAUUUAUUCAAUCUUAGUAUCAGUCUUUUUACUGAGAAUAAAAUCCAGCGAUCUGAGAAGGCCAUGUGACGCGGAAAGGACCUGGAUUGAAAGCCGGCUUUAGAUAAAUCUGAAGUCAGAAUUCACGGUUGCUGCAGAGAAACCCAGUGUCUUCCAUCGGAUACUGAUAGUCUUCAGGUUCUUUACAAAUGGAAUCUGUGGGUCUAAUCUUACUAAUUCCAUUCUGUGUGUGUUUUUUGUUGUUAUUCAUCGUGUGCUGUUUUGCUGAUGAAAUCAAGAAAAUGUGUCGUAUGCCAAAUCAACUUCCGCAACAUUAUAUACCAAGUGAUCGCGCCGAAGCCGAUCGCGAGCGCCGUAGACGUCAAAGGCGAAACCAGCGCCAGGCAAGAGCAAGUGUUCAUGGACAAAGACCCUCGGGAUCAGACGUUGAGUCAUUGGUGGGUUGGCGUAGUCGGAAUUCCUCUGGUAGUUCAGGGUACAGUUCGGAUGUUAGUCCAUUUUUGGUAUUAGCGGUUGUGACAUCAGAGGUACAACCAAACGGGGAAGUAAUUACGUCACAUGUAGACGCUCAAAGUUUGCUGCAGUUGCAAACUGUAGACGGACCAGCACUCAGUGCUUCACAGACACUCACCUGCAGUAUUGAGGAAUGUGAACAUGUUUAGCACUCCUCCUAAAAGUGUUCUUAAAAUCUUUGUAAUCAAUGCAAUUUAAGUGUCGUUUUGUUUCAUAUGCAAUGUGAUAAUUCAGAACGAGAUGUUCCAGAUUUGUUGUCUCACUGUGUGGAUAUUUCUUUUGUUUUCAUUCCCAUUGUUUAGCGGCAUACGUCUGCCAUCACUUGUCAGAUAAUUAUGUUGACUUGUCAGUUAAUAAUAUCGAUUUCUCAGAUGAUUAUGUAGACUUCUCGGGAAAAAUAUCAUUUAUAUUUUUUCAUUAUCUUGUAAUACUGAUAUACCAAUGCUGACAUCGACAAGUCAAGACCACGAUCGGACAAGUCGAUAUAAUUAUCUGUAAUUUGUCAGAUCUUUAUUUCUAUGUUGUUAAGUGGAUGUUACAUUUUGGGCUUGAAAUCAUAUUAUUGUUUCAACACUUUUUAAUUAUUCGACAUUUAGACAAAAAUUAUCUGUCAAGUCAACAUAAUUACUUGUAAAUGACAAUUUGAUAUGAUUAUCUGAUAAGUCUGCAUAAUUAUCUGACACGUGAUGGCAGGACUUUGCCACCUUUCCAAUUGAAAAAUCAAUCAACUUGUUUUGUAGACUGUAAGAUAAGAAUUAUAACGCACAAUGUAUGUAUGUAUGCACAGAAAAUCCGUUUGUAUACUUUUUUGAUACAGAAUUUUACAGGACAAAUUACAUUUUGUAGAUGGGCUUAAUGACUUUUGUGCGCCAGGCGAGUGCUUUAUUCCAAGGCCCACUAUUCUCAAUGUGACGAUGUCUUGUCUUUAGAGAUUGCCAAAGCAUUCAAAUGAUAGUAUCCAGGUUACGUUAGUGUAUGUAAUAACAUGCAGAGGAAUCUGUCGUGGAAGAGAGGUGAAUUAUUGAAUGCCAUUCUAUGAAGGCACUAGACUAGUCCAUGUUUACUUAAUACACAAAGCACAGUGUACAAGGUGUAAUAACUAUAUCGAUCAAAUAAUGCAUUUAUUCCAUCUUCACAUUGGUUUACAUUUUUCAUCUUAGAAACUAAUUUAUUUCCAUUGAUUCUCUCAAUUCAACCAUAUAUAUUUCAUAGAGUGCAUGUGUGAUCGGCCUGCGGUACUGUCUUAUGAGAUUAGCAAAUCAUAUUUGGUGUAACUUCGUUGUUUUUAAGAAUCUCAAUUUCUAUGUAGAUUUAUUUUACGUCUUUUCUACUUUUACUUUUUUUUAUUGUAAGGACUUAUUUUAUUCAGGGAUGAACAGAUGAAAGUUAUCGCGGAUGAAUCUUUUUGCUCUUUACUAUCCUCUAGUUAAUUAAAAUGAUUGUAAAAUGAGUACGUUGUUCAUCUAAUGAUGCAUUUGAGAUUGAUUGUACUGAUGUAGGAAAACUACACAAUUUAUCAUGUAAAAUGUCCACAGUUUUACUUAUUUCCAAUGGAAAUUUCUAAUAAUACUUUGAUCAAUAUUACAAUUUAUACAUAACAUUUCCAAGUAUUACACUGCUUUAGACAGGGAAUAUAGUUCCUGUUUGUAAGUGUUCAUGUAUAUAUAUAUAUAUAUAUAUAUAUAUAUAUAUAUAUAUAUAUAUACACACACACACAUUUGUCACGUGACUAUCUGACUAUCAAGUUGAACACUAAAAUCCAUUCAUUGUAUUGUAAACACGUGUUCUUUACAUAGUGUUAUUUGUUUGUUUGGGGGUUGGGUAUAUAUUUUUUGUUUUGGUUAUCAUUCUUGACUUCAGAUCACUAUCAGAAUGACGGUUGGGUUCAUCAUUAGGGAAAAUGAAUAUGUGAUUAAAAAAAAAUAAGCUGGCCAACUUUGAAAAAUGGACCUAUGCAGUAUAUAUUGGAACCAAGUAUAUAUGUACAAUUCCCUUUCACUCUUUAAGUUACUGAUACUGUAUCUGCAAAUUUUAAUAAUUAGACGUUUUUGCUCAAUAUUGAGGCAGUGUUUGGAAUUUGUCUUUGAUAUUGUGAAGAACUCCAAGGUGAGAACUCUUUCAGACUCGGUGUGUUGUAUGUUCACCGUUGUGUGGGGUAUGUAAUAGGGCUCAGAAUUUGUCAAUGGUGAAAUUAUGCGCUUUCAGUCGACAACGAAUCGUAUAUACUUCAAGCUUAUAUGUCAACUCAAUCAAACUGAAUAAAUGUUAUGAUGUGAAA